UACAGGGGGGGCAAGCGUUGUUCGGAAUUACUGGGCGUAAAGGGCUCGUAGGCGGCCAAUUAAGUCCGACGUGAAAUCCCCAGGCUUAACCUGGGAACUGCGUCGGAUACUGAUUGGCUUGAAUCCGGGAGAGGGAUGCGGAAUUCCAGGUGUAGCGGUGAAAUGCGUAGAUAUCAGGAGGAACACCAAUGGCGAAGGCAGCUCGCUGGGACGGUACUGACGCUGAGACGCGAAAGCGUGGGGAGCAAACAGG
This 253-nucleotide ribosomal RNA is filed under the name uncultured bacterium. RNAcentral describes it as "partial 16S ribosomal RNA". It matches the Rfam family "Bacterial small subunit ribosomal RNA", at positions 524 to 776 of the family's 1533-position model. The record is from RNAcentral.